Molecule: ribosomal RNA, 460 nt
Filed under: uncultured bacterium
Lineage: Bacteria
Description: partial 16S ribosomal RNA
Rfam family: Bacterial small subunit ribosomal RNA
Source: RNAcentral
CCUACGGGUGGCUGCAGUGAGGAAUAUUGGUCAAUGGACGAGAGUCUGAACCAGCCAAGUAGCGUGAGGGAUGACUGCCCUAUGGGUUGUAAACUUCUUUUAUAUGGGAAUAAAACGUUCCACGUGUGGGAGUUUGUAUGUACCAGAUGAAUAAGGAUCGGCUAACUCCGUGCCAGCAGCCGCGGUAAUCAGGAGGAUCCGAGCGUUAUCCGGAUUUAUUGGGUUUAAAGGGAGCGUAGGUGGAUUGUUAAGUCAGUUGUGAAAGUUUGCGGCUCAACCGUAAAAUUGCAGUUGAAACUGGCAGUCUGGAGUACAGUAGAGGUGGGCGGAAUUCGUGGUGUAGCGGUGAAAUGCUUAGAUAUCACGAAGAACUCCGAUUGCGAAGGCAGCGUACUAAACUAUAACUGACACUGAAGCACGAAAGCGUGGGGAUCAAACAGGAUGAGAUACCCUUGUAGUC